GUCUGCAGCCAUUCCACCCUGACUGACCUGAUCUUAGAAGCUGGGUAGGGUUGGGCCUGGUAGUACUAGAAUGGGAGGUGAGGUAAGAAAAUGCACCAACUGGGGCACCUGGGUGGCACAGCGGUUA
RNAcentral lists this ribosomal RNA (127 nucleotides) under Ursus maritimus (polar bear). Lineage: Eukaryota; Metazoa; Chordata; Mammalia; Carnivora; Ursidae. The record is from RNAcentral.